UGAUGCCAGGGUCAAAAGGUCUAAAAACACAUGAGCUUGCUCAUAGGUGGUUGAAAGACCUUGGGACCCGCUCCGAUAUGAGCAUAAAAGUGGGAUGCUAAUUCCACGAUAUUCGAAUAUUAAAUAGGAUUGUGGGAGUGCAAAGCACGGAACAAUCCGUAGGCAUCA
This is a small RNA of Firmicutes bacterium CAG:95, 168 nucleotides long. It matches the Rfam family "Clostridiales-1 RNA". The record is from Rfam. Lineage: Bacteria; Bacillati; Bacillota.